Long non-coding RNA from Ipomoea nil (Japanese morning glory), 154 nucleotides. RefSeq lists it as uncharacterized. The transcript has 3 exons. Lineage: Eukaryota; Viridiplantae; Streptophyta; Magnoliopsida; Solanales; Convolvulaceae. The record is from RefSeq and is a predicted model, not a curated record.
UUUUACCAAACACUUUUUUACAAACCGCUAAUACAAUCUGCUGGUCAAACUCGCUAAUACAAUCCGCUAUUUGAUAACUGCUAACACAAUCCGCUACUGCUAACCGCUAACCGCUAAUAACCAAACAAGCCCAAUAAAAGAAAAUAAAGUGGAG